RNAcentral lists this transfer RNA (73 nucleotides) under Bos taurus (domestic cattle). It matches the Rfam family "tRNA". From Rfam's summary of the family: Transfer RNA (tRNA) molecules are approximately 80 nucleotides in length. Their secondary structure includes four short double-helical elements and three loops (D, anti-codon, and T loops). Lineage: Eukaryota; Metazoa; Chordata; Mammalia; Artiodactyla; Bovidae. The record is from Rfam by way of RNAcentral.
UCCCUGGUGAUCCAGCGGUUAGGACUCUGUGCUUCCAAUGCAGGGGGCAUGGGUUUGAUCCCUGGUCAGGGAA